CACGUCUUCGCCUGUUUAUCAAAAACAUACCUUUUAGAUAUUUUAUUUAAAGUCUGGCCGCAGUAUUUUAACUGUGCAAAGGUAGCAUAAUCAUUAGUCUUUUAAUUGAAGGCUUAUAUGAAUGGUUGGACGAGGCAUAAGCUGUUUCAUUGGAAUUAGGGGUAGAACUUUAUUUUUUAGUUAAAAAGCUGAGAUGUUUUUGAAAGACGAGAAGACCCUAUAGAUCUUGAUAAUUAUUGGGUUAUAUUUAUGAAGAUUAUUUUAUUUGUGAUCCAUUAUAUUAUUUUUUUGGGUGGCAUUAAGAUUUACGAAACUCUUAUUAUGAUGUUUAACAUUAAUUUAUGAAAUUUUGAUCCACUAGUAGUGAUUAAUAAAUUAAGUUACCUAAGGGAUAACAGCGUAAUUUUUCUAGAGAGUUCAUAUCGAUAGAAAAUAUUGCGACCUCGAUGUUGGAUUAAAAGAUACGACUGGGCGCAGCAGUUCAGUUGUUAAGUCUGUUCGACUUUUGAUUUCUUACGUGAUCUGAGCUCAAACCGGAGACC
Molecule: ribosomal RNA, 542 nt
Filed under: Ospriocerus latipennis
Lineage: Eukaryota; Metazoa; Arthropoda; Insecta; Diptera; Asilidae
Description: partial 16S ribosomal RNA
Rfam family: Bacterial large subunit ribosomal RNA
Source: RNAcentral